UUUUUUUUUUUUUUUUUUUUUUUUUUUAAGAGAUGGGGUCUCAGGGGCCAGGUGCGAUGGCUCACACCUGUAAUUCCAGCACUUUGGGAGGCUGAGGCGAGCGGCUCACCUGAGGUCAGGAGUUCAAGACCAGCCUGGCCAACAUGGUGAAACCCUGUCUCAACUAAAAAUUCAAAAAAUUAGCUGGGCGUGGUGGCGGGUGCCUGUAAUCCCAGCUCCUCAGGAGUCUGAGGCAGGAGAAUUGCUUGAACCCGGGAGGUGGAGGUAGCAGUGAGCCAAAAUUGCACCACUAUACUCCAGCCUGGGCAAUAAGAGCAAAACUCCGUCUCAAAAGAAAAAAAAAACAGAUGGGGUCUCACUGCAGUGAACAUAGCUCACUGCAGCGAUCAUAGCUCACUGCAGCUUCUACCUCCUGGGCUCAAGCCAUCCUCUCACCUCAGCCUCCAGAGUAGCUGGGACUGUAGGCAUGGGCCCAGCUUAUUUUUUAAUUUUUUGUAGAGAUAAAGUAUCACUAUGUUGCCCAGGCUUGUCUUGAACUUCUGGCCUCAAGCGGUCCUCCCACCUCAGCAUCCCAAAGUGCUAGGAUUACAGGUGUGAGCCACUGCACUUGGCUGACUUUAAAAAAGCAAAGUUUCAUAGAGUUUUGGUUUCCAAUUCACAGGGUGGGUGAAAGGAAUAGGAUAUGAGGAGAGUCCCUUAACACAUGGCAGUCCUAACAUCCCACUGAAGACAACUAAAUGGGAGGAGGGGGGUGUGGAAAAUGAAAUUAUUCAAUGUGCUGAUGAGUGGAGAAUGGUUAUGGGGACCUAUUAAGAAACUUGCUAGUCUAGGCAAGAAAUAAGAAAGGUCUAGCCGGGCAUGGUAGUAUCUGGGACUACAGGUGCCCGCCACCUCGCCCGGCUAGUUUUUUGUAUUUUUUUAGUAGAGACGGGGUUUCACUGUGUUAGCCAGGAUGGUCUCGAUCUCCUGACCUCGUGAUCCGCCCGUCUCGGCCUCCCAAAGUGCUGGGAUUACAGGCUUGAGCCACCGCGCCCGGCCAAAGCAAGACUGUCUUUAAAAAAAGAAGAAGAAGAAGAAGGAGCAUUGCUACAGGUUUUAGCAUGAGAUCAAGCCCCUUCCCUGUGCCCCAGAUUUAAGAUGUGUCUCCUCUAGUCCACUCUAUUUGGUGCUGGGAUGAAUCCUUCAUAACAUCCAUGGCUCCUUGAGCCUAACAUUGAGUUACCAAUAAUAGUGAUAAGAAGAUGCCUAUUUUCUGAUUUCCAUUCUUCAACAGACUUUAAAGAUUUUUGUUCAUCUUUUUCACAUCUCUAGGACAGCAGAAAGCAUUUUUCCCUUUGUUUAUAGAGGCUUCAAAGCUUGGAUAGGCCCCCCAAAGGUUUUGUUGAUUCUUCCCUGGGUCACUCAGCUGAUAUAUGACCAAGGACAGGAGAUACUGAGUGUGAGACUGCAUUUUCAUUACCUGACAGCAAAAAGAGAAUUCAUAGGCUGUGGACUUCUGUUUUCUACCCAUCUGUGUACCCAAGAAACCUGUGUACUGAAUGAAACAACUAGAGUUGUGCUGUGGGAUGGGGCAAUUGUAAGGGAAGCAGCCUGGUCAGGUGGGAGGCUGGGAAGCCCCCUAAUAGGGGAGCUUUCUUAAUUUUCUGCCUUGUGUCUUUGCAGCUAUCAGAGGACUCGGAAACCUGGAGAGCUACCUGCUGUAUAAAGGCUGGCCUGAGGGCAUUUGCUGAACACAGAGAAACCCAGGAGAGGAGAUCAGCAGUUUUCUUUCACUCUACUUGAUCUGUCAGAUUUACCCAGAGAAAGCCAGUCAGGAUCCCUUAAGAGUCUUUAGGCCCAGAAUGGAGUCCUCAGGGCUGCAGGGGACUGUGGUGCUAACAAUUAAACUGUUCAAGACUUUAAAGAGUUGAAGGGGACUAAUGGGUAUCCCUAGCAUGGCCUCCUAGAUGGGAAUGAACUGGCAACUCCGACUGUGCCAUUCCCAGUCUAUGUGGUUCCCUUUAGCCUCCCAGAGAAUUGGCUGAAACACCCUACGACCGUUUUGUUUCCCCACUACCACACCUGCGUUACGGGUAUCAGCCUGUGAGUCCUUGAACCCUUCCAGAGGGCUCCCAAACGAGGGUGAUCACUGCCCCUCCAUUGAAGACUGAGGAAAGCCAAGUGAGAAGAUUGUUUAUUUGGGCAAGUUAUUUAACAUCUGAACCUGUUUUUCUCUUCAUUGUUUAUUAUUUACCUUGUCCAAAAAGGUCAUAAAGGGUAGUAGGGCUUUUUCUGUUCCACCUCUGUACUAUAUUUCUCCCCAGCAAGUAUCUGCCCCUGAGGAGCUCAAUAAAGGUUUGGUCAAGUGAUGAAUGGCCCCACUCUGGUAGCUUCUAUCAACUGUGGGAGAGAGCCAAAGCCCCCGUCUAGCUCUCACUUUCCUUCCAGCUAUACUAGGCCAGCUAUUUAUUCUGACAUUUUCUCUUGAAGGAUUGGAAAGUCAGCCUUUGAUAGGCUUCUGGUUUCCUCUGGCCUAUUUCUAGGUUGAUUUAUACUCAGCUUCCUGAGAGGCUAGGGACCUCUGAUACUGCACUCUUCCCUAAUGCCUUCUAGUUAUUUACCCUAACAAAGGAACAAGGGGAAGAACUGAGUUUAGGGAGAGAAUAGAGCUUAUCUGCAUUUUAGCUGUGCCUGGGGCAUUCUAGUGAGCUUGGAUUGGUCCUUAGCAGGAACAGAAGUAUAAUGGAAAGGGAUUCCUUAAAGUCAAUUGAUUUACACUGGGCAAGCUAUUUAACCUCUGAGCCUGUUUCUGUCUUCAUUGUUGAUUACUGUAAAUAACAGCUAAUAAUUUACUUAUUUCUUAGUAUGUACCAGGAAAAUGAGAAAAACUGAGACUCAAGGAGAAUAAAAAAACUUGCCUAUGGUUAGAAAAAGACUUCAUGAUCUA
Macaca mulatta (Rhesus monkey) is the source of this 2926-nucleotide long non-coding RNA. The record is from Ensembl. NCBI's taxonomy places the organism in Eukaryota, Metazoa, Chordata, Mammalia, Primates, Cercopithecidae.